CACUGUUGUAUCCCUGCAAAUUCCUGUUAUGAAAGUACCACCAAGCCUCCUGAUUUGAUGAAAUUAAGCAAAGCAAGAAACCCAUUUAUAAUUCUCGCAACUGCAGCUAGUAAAUGUGUUUUGCUACUAGAACAUGACAAGAUAAAUGCCAGCAACAAAAUUGAAGCCGAAGAACUGAGAGAAAUUGAGUGACUUUGCCUACAUUGAAUUAAGGAGAUAUAUAUUUUUUAUAGGAACAGAAGAUGAAAUAAACAGUGUGGAUAUAUGAAACAUACUCAGUGCUGUAACUACAAUAAGGGCAUACAGUACCCAGCAGAUUGAUUGUAAGAGAGUGUGCAAUGGGGGCAGACUAAGUCACAGCUGGGGAGUGUGGAUGAUGGAUAGACAGUGUCACUUGCUCUGCUGAGAAGGGGAAGGCAGCACGUCUGAAGUUGCUCAGUCUCACCAACGCUGCAGGAUAUACAGUGCUCAGCUGGAGUCUCUGGCCUGGCAGCUGAGCACAGACAAAUGGAGGCAAAUGGUGGCUAAGAUUUGUUUUGGAAGGGGAAGGAAACAGAAGGAAGGAAGCUUUCUGUACAUACUCCUUGCAGUGGGAAGUAGGAAUUAUGCUGGUGUUUUAUCACUCUGCUACUUCUCUGGAUAAUGCAUUUAUGUAUUCAGUGUGAUGCACAAGAAAUGAGCCAGAUAAUUUUGAGUAAGCUGAACCAGCUGCAAAUACUGAUAAAGUACAUUCAUUAUGUUAUAAUAAGAAGACUGUACGUAUAUGAAGGCAGGAUCAAAGUCAUCAGUUUCCUUCAAGGAGAUAACCAAAAGUCAUCCUGUGAUACAGCAGUACAUCCAGUAGUACUGUGCAUAGGCUGUACCAGCCUAAGGCAGUGUGAACAUUCAUUCCUGUAUCAAGGAUGCAGCCACCUGCCCCAGUUCCUCCCUUCCACCCAUGAGCCAAAAAGGCCCCUGGAUCCUUGUGACACAGCUCUUCUCUGGAUUCUUGGUGUCUGAUAACCUCCUAGGCCGCACAUAAGAUCAUACCAAGAAACUUACAGCUUUCCUGUUCUCAUCUUUCUCAUCUGGAAUAUUCUGGUACCUUGAGAAUAACAAGUGUGACCUUCCGCUUAGCCAUAUGAGGUAAGACCAAUAUUUUUCACACGUUUUCAUCCUUGUUUAUAUAGGUCUUCCUUGGACUUGUACAUACAAGUAAUAAUCAAAAGUAAUCACAGUAGUAAUCAAAAUCCUAAAUCUUGCAGAUAUUUAGAAUAACCUGGUGACAGAAAAUAUAGAUGAGAAGAAACUUUUCUCUCCUCCCUUCUACCUGUGUGGGAAGAAACUCAUCUUUAAGCAUCCUAACCUGAAGAACUGAAACUGAAUGAUCCAAUAGGGUCAAGAGGACCGAUCCCAUGUAUGUCAUUCCUGAUCACAGACACAUGGUAUUUAGCACUACCUCAUCUUAGGGAUCUCUCCAGCAGAAACAACAACAGUGAAACAUAGGUAAUAUGAUUUUUUCCGGUAACUUCCCUUUCUGACAUAAAUUAUGCUGUGGGGUACUAUCCAUGAAAUUACAAUAGAAAAAUUAUCAUAUUUUCACCCAUGAAGUCUGUAGGUUUUUCUGUCAAAAAAACAAAAUAGAAUUUUAAGUACACAUUAGCUACACUCUGAUAUGAUGGAUACUUACCAAACAUAUGCCUUUUCCUAACCCUAAGAAUAACAGGAUCCUUGACCAAGAUUCAGCCAAAAUGUUUUUAUCCCCACCUCUAAGAUUCUCUAGUGACAGAGACCUUUUUUCUCCCCUGGCAUACAAACCAGUUCACUCCUCCCCAGUGGUGAAUCAUCUGUUGGCAUGAGUAAUUCCUUUAUAGAGAAGGAAUGGCAUAUUUUAAGCACUAGGAUUAGCUAUGAGUGUAUUAUACUGUCCGGUUUUCGGCUGUUUGAAGGGCCUGGAAAGGCCCGGAGUGGCCUUGGGGCAGCCCGCGUAUCAAAGGACGAGAAGAAGCUUCAGUUCUUCUUUCGGUCUUUAUGUUUAUUAAUUGUUUAUCUAAAAGAU
This 2038-nucleotide long non-coding RNA is filed under the name Zonotrichia albicollis (white-throated sparrow). Its description in RNAcentral is "lncRNA (ENSZALG00000008989.1)". The record is from RNAcentral. Lineage: Eukaryota; Metazoa; Chordata; Aves; Passeriformes; Passerellidae.